AUUGAACGCUGGCGGCAGGCCUAACACAUGCAAGUCGAACGAGUGGCGGACGGGUGAGUAAUGUCUGGGAAACUGCCUGAUGGAGGGGGAUAACUACUGGAAACGGUAGCUAAUACCGCAUACCAUCGGUUCUGCCCAGAUGGGAUUAGCUAGUAGGGGGGGGAACGGCUCACCUAGGCGACGCUCCCUAGCUGGUCUGAGAGGAUGACCAGCCACACUGGAACGGAGACACGGUCCAGACUCCUACGGGAGGCAGCAGUGGGUAAUAUUGCACAAUGGGCGCAAGCCUGAUGCAGCCAUGCCGCGUGUAUGAAGAAGGCCUUCGGGUUGUAAAGUACUUUCAGCGGGGAGGCGUUACCCACAGAGGAAGCACCGGCUAACUCCGUGCCAGCAGCCGCGGUAAUAC
This 406-nucleotide ribosomal RNA is filed under the name uncultured bacterium. RNAcentral describes it as "partial 16S ribosomal RNA". It matches the Rfam family "Bacterial small subunit ribosomal RNA", at positions 30 to 526 of the family's 1533-position model. The record is from RNAcentral.